AUUGAACGCUGGCGGCAUGCCUUACACAUGCAAGUCGAACGGCAGCACGGGAGCAAUCCUGGUGGCGAGUGGCGAACGGGUGAGUAAUGUAUCGGAACGUGCCUUGUCGUGGGGGAUAACGUAGCGAAAGCUACGCUAAUACCGCAUACCAUCUAAGGAUGAAAGCGGGGGAUCGCAAGACCUCGCGCGACAAGAGUGGCCGAUAUCAGAUUAGGUUGUUGGUGGGGUAAAGGCUCACCAAGGCGACGAUCCGUAGCUGGUCUGAGAGGACGACCAGCCACACUGGAACUGAGACACGGUCCAGACUCCUACGGGAGGCAGCAGUGGGGAAUUUUGGACAAUGGGCGCAAGCCUGAUCCAGCAAUUCCGCGUGAGUGAAGAAGGCC
RNAcentral lists this ribosomal RNA (386 nucleotides) under uncultured bacterium. RNAcentral's name for it is "bacterial SSU rRNA". It matches the Rfam family "Bacterial small subunit ribosomal RNA", at positions 30 to 416 of the family's 1533-position model. The record is from RNAcentral.